Molecule: ribosomal RNA, 253 nt
Filed under: uncultured bacterium
Lineage: Bacteria
Description: partial 16S ribosomal RNA
Rfam family: Bacterial small subunit ribosomal RNA
Source: RNAcentral
UACGUAGGUGGCAAGCGUUGUCCGGAUUUACUGGGCGUAAAGAGCGCGCAGGCGGUCGGAUUAGUCGCGUGUGAAAGCCCCCGGCUCAACUGGGGAGGGUCACGCGAUACUGUUCGACUCGAAGGCAGGAGAGGGAAGUGGAAUUCCCGGUGUAGUGGUGAAAUGCGUAGAUAUCGGGAGGAACACCAGUGGCGAAGGCGACUUCCUGGACCGACACUGACGCUGAGGCGCGAAAGCUAGGGGAGCAAACGGG